CAACAAUGUGUGGCUCCUUACCACAAUCAAUCAGUAUGGCAAAUAUCAUUUUUGCUCAGAGGGCAUUUUUGCAGAGAGAAGCUAGUGUGGAAGGACUGUCUUCCAUUUUGGAAGAUGAAUAAUUUUCAGAAUAUGACGAUCAUGUCUCUGUCAAUUCGGAGUCUGACAGUGAGUUUGAAGAAGAGGAUGAGAUUGACCCUCAGCCAGCCCCAGGACCAGCCCGUCAGCAACCAGCUCAUCAGCAGCCAGCCCCAGGACCAGCCUGUCAGCAACCAGCUCAUCAGCAGCCUGCAGGAGGAGAAAUAUGGAUGUCAAAAAAUUGUGAAAUUGAAUGAUCUUCUUGCCCAAGGAAUGAGCCACCCCGCAUGGCUGCCAAUGUGAUAAGGAUGCAACCAGGGCCGACGCGGAUGGCGGUUACUCAUGUGCAGGACAUAAAGUCAUCUUUUGAACUGUUCAUCCCAGACACCGUCCUGAAAAUCAUUCUGAACUGCACUAAUUUGGAGGGAAGGUGUGUUUUUGGAGAGAGAUGGAAGGAGAUGGACAAAACUAAUUUACUUGCAUACUUUGGUGUUCUUAUCCUUGCUGGUGUUUUCAGAUCCAACGGGGAAUCCACAGAAUCCCGGUGAGAUGAAAAAAAUGGCAGAGAAAUUUUCCGUGCAACAUUGUCUCUGGAAAACAUCCACAUUAUUUGCAGGAUUAUCCGCUUUGAUAAAUGAGACACCAGACCAGCUCGGCGGCAGAGAGAAAGUGUGGUCAGGUCAGUGUCGGACAAGUGGGUGGACCGCAUUCCCCUGUUUUACAACCCUGGGCCCAGCGUUACUGUUGAUGAGCAGCUUAUGCCAUUUAGGGGCCCGCUGCCCCUUCAGGCAGUUCUAAACCCGCAAAAUAUAGAAUCAAGAUCUGGGCUGCCUGUGAUGGUGCUUCAUCAUAUGUCUGGAACUUGCAAGUGUAUACAGAGAAGCCAGAUGGAGGAGCCCCUGAGAAGAACCAGGGGAUGCAGGUUGUCCUGGAUGUGACACAGGGACUCCGUGGCCACAACGUCACAUGCGAUAACUUUUUUUACUUUGCACACGCUGGGACAGGAGCUCCUACUAGAGGAUGCUGAAGAUGGUAGGAACAGAACAAAAAAACAAGCCAGAGCUCCCACUUCAAUUCUGUGGCCAGGAACAUCAAAAACCAGAAAUCAUAAUGGAUUACAAUGCCACAAAAAGAGGGGUGGACAAUUUAGACAAGCUGGUGAUUGGCUACAGCUGCUAAAGAAGAACCCUACGCUGGCCACUUGUGAUAUUCUCCAACAUCUUGGACAUCUCGACGUACAAUGCGUUUGUCAUCUGUAUGGCGUUGAACCCAGAUUGGAACAGAGGGAAGCUCCAGAGGAGAUGGAUCUUUCUUGAGGAGCUGGGCAAGGCAUUGGUAAGACCUCAUAUCUAGAGGAGGCAACAUAUCCCAAGGACCCCAGCUUCUGCAGCCAUUGUUUCGGAGGAUUCAGGAGGAGGAUGCUGGUGCCCCAACCAACAACUCCAAUACCGGAAGACCUGAGCCCUAGGACCAUGUCUCAGGACUACCUGGUAUGAUGACUCCUUGCUGUCCCCAGUCCACCUGGCCGUGCUGCUGCUCCAGUUUCAACUGUUCUGCCUGCGGCUAUGGAACCCUGACCUGUUCACCGGACGUGCUUGUUGCACCCUCGACAACUACUAUGAUUAUUAUUAUUUGACCAUGCUGGUCAUUUAUGAACAUUUUAACAUCUUGACCAUGUUCUGUUAUAAUAUCCACCCUGCACAGCCAGAAGAGGACUGGCCACCCCUCAUAGCCUGGUUCCUCUCUAGGUUUCUUCCUAGGUUUUUGGCCUUUCUAGGGAGUUUUUCCUAGGGAGUUUUUCCUAGCCACCGUGCUUCUUUCACAUGCAUUGCUUGCUGUUUGGGGUUUUAGGCUGGGUUUCUGUACAGCACUUUGAGAUAUCAGCUGAUGUACGAAGGGCUAUAUAAAUACAUUUGAUUUGACAUACCCUCCUGUAUAUCCCCACAUUCCCUCCUGUAUAUUCCCACAUUUCACCCUGUAUAUCCCCACGCCCCCCUGUAUAUCCCCACCACCCUCCCUGUAUAUCGCCACAUCCCUCCUGUAUAUCCCCACAUUUCACCCUGUAUAUCCCCACAUCUCUCCUGUAUAUCCCCACAUUUCACCCUGUAUACCCCCACAUCCCUCCUGUAUAUCCCCACAUUUCACCCUGUAUAUCCCCACAUCCCUCCUGUAUAUCCCCACAUUUCACCCUGUAUAUCCCCACAUCCCUCCCUGUAUAUACCCACAUCCCCCCAGUAUACCCCCACAUUCCUCCCUGUAUACCCCCACAUCCCUCCCAGUAUAUCCCCACAUCCCUCCCUGUAUAUCCCCACAUCCCUCCCUGUAUAUCCCCACAUCCCCCCUGUAUAUCCCCACAUCCCUCCCUGUUGUCAUGACGUUGGCCUGUGGGUAAGGUUUAUGACCCCCCCCCCCCAUAAAUACCUUUCUCCCUUCCCCUCUCUUACUGACCCUACUGAAGGACUGCUGUCCUGUUAAAUAUAGAGAGUCUGGGAACAUCAAACAAAUGGGGAAAGGAACCAUAUUUUGGUAAUAAAACCAGUUGGAAAUAUGCUUGAUAACGUAAUGAGUAUGUAUGUCAGUUCGCUUGUCAUCUGAGACAUUAUGACUGAUGACAGGACGACAUAAACUGUAUCUGAGAAAGUAUACACCCUCUAGUUAUCAGAGUCACAUGGAAUUGUUAUGCAAUUGAAAUGUUUGAUAUUGAAAUUGUUUGUUAGGAGAUUAAAUGUAAUUUUAGCUUCCAAAUGAGAGAAUUGGGUUUUCAUAAGGAAAGUGCCCUGCUUGAUCAGUGGCCCAACCCUAUGAAGAGACAGGGGUUAUAAACGAUGAAACACCUCCCUCCCCCUCUCCACUAUAUAAGCCUUUGACGAAAAGAUAACCAGGUGGUUCCAGUACGUGAGGUCUGCAGCCUCUACGUUAGAAGGACACACAUGUCAAAGACAGAACUAAGCCAACCUCGGCGUGAGCUUUGGUGGCGAAUGGUAUGAACUUUGAGCUUAUUCACUACAGAAGUGAUACUUCCUAGCCGUUGAGUUAGCAGCGGCCGCUGCUAACGUGGGCUAGGAAAGGACGGACGACGGAUCCAGUCUAACAACCAGACGAAGAUACCACCACGUAUCCAAUUGACCACCAUUGACAUUCUUCCGAAAACAGGGAGAUCUGUUGGCCAACCCGGCCAGCAUCUACGACCAAUCUACCGAAGCGCAGCUCAGAGUAAAUAUUUAUUGCAUUUUCUUUUUCCAAAUGGGCGGUAAUUUAGAAUGCAUAAGAUAAUGUAUUUACGAUAGCAUAGCUGCUGUUUCUGUGUUCCUAAAUCUUCCCGCUCUUUCAUUCAAGCCCAACCCCCUUUCCUUUGUGUAACCAGCUUUCAUACAGGUUCCGUUCACCAGGGGUGAAUUCUGUAUGACAUCAUUGUAUUCUGUGUAUUUGUAAUUCUGUGUGAUUAGUUAG
Molecule: long non-coding RNA, 3528 nt
Filed under: Salmo salar (Atlantic salmon)
Lineage: Eukaryota; Metazoa; Chordata; Actinopteri; Salmoniformes; Salmonidae
Description: lncRNA (ENSSSAG00000108410.1)
Source: RNAcentral